GGACCGGUAGUUCAGCCGGUUAGAAUGCCGCCCUGUCACGGCGGAGGUCGCGGGUUCGAGUCCCGUCCGGUCCGCCA
This 77-nucleotide transfer RNA is filed under the name Gammaproteobacteria bacterium. RNAcentral describes it as "tRNA-Asp". It matches the Rfam family "tRNA". Rfam says of the family: Transfer RNA (tRNA) molecules are approximately 80 nucleotides in length. Their secondary structure includes four short double-helical elements and three loops (D, anti-codon, and T loops). The record is from RNAcentral. Lineage: Bacteria; Pseudomonadati; Pseudomonadota; Gammaproteobacteria.